AAUCAACGCUGGCGGCGUGCCUCAGACAUGCAAGUCGAACGCGAAAGUCUCCUUCGGGAGACGAGUAGAGUGGCGCACGGGUGAGUAACACGUAGGUUAUCUACCUCCGAGUGGGGAAGUAACAGCCGGAAACGGCUGCUAAUACCGCAUAAUACCGAAAGGUACAAAGACUUUAUGUGCUUGGAGAGGAGCCUGCGGCAGAUUAGCUAGUUGGUAAGGUAAUGGCUUACCAAGGCGACGAUCUGUAUCCGGUCUAAGAGGACGGUCGGAC
Molecule: ribosomal RNA, 271 nt
Filed under: uncultured bacterium
Lineage: Bacteria
Description: partial 16S ribosomal RNA
Rfam family: Bacterial small subunit ribosomal RNA
Source: RNAcentral